GACGAACGCUGGCGGCGUGCUUAACAUAUGCAAGUCGAACGGGCCUGUCUUCUUUUUUGGGGGUGGGUUGAGUGGCGAACGGGUGAGUAUCACGUGAGUAACCUGCCCUUCGGUCCUGGAUAACCGCUUGAAAGGGCGGCUAAUACGGGGUGGUCCGGUUGGUCCGCAUGGGCUGGUCGGGAUAGAUUCACUGUUUUUGGUGUUUCGGCGGGGGAUGGGCUCGCGGCCUAUCAGCUUGUUGGUGGGGUGAUGGCCUACCAAGGCGGUGACGGGUAGCCGGCCUGAGAGGGUGGGCGGCCACACUGGGACUGAGAUACGGCCCAGACUCCUGCGGGAGGCAGCAGUGGGGGGUAUUGCACAAUGGGCGGAAGCCUGAUGCAGCGACGUCGCGUGAGGGAUGGAGGCCUUCGGGUUGUGAACCUCUGUUUCCGGUGGUGAAGGCCCUGUCCGUGUGGUGGGGUUGACGGUAGCCGGGGAUGAAGCGCCGGCUAACUACGUG
RNAcentral lists this ribosomal RNA (499 nucleotides) under uncultured bacterium. RNAcentral describes it as "partial 16S ribosomal RNA". It matches the Rfam family "Bacterial small subunit ribosomal RNA", at positions 28 to 507 of the family's 1533-position model. The record is from RNAcentral.